GCAGUGGUGGUUCAGUGGUAGAAUUCUUGCCUUUCAUGCGGAAGACUCCAGUUCAAUUCCUGGUCAGUGCA
This 71-nucleotide transfer RNA is filed under the name Loxodonta africana (African savanna elephant). It matches the Rfam family "tRNA". Rfam says of the family: Transfer RNA (tRNA) molecules are approximately 80 nucleotides in length. Their secondary structure includes four short double-helical elements and three loops (D, anti-codon, and T loops). Lineage: Eukaryota; Metazoa; Chordata; Mammalia; Proboscidea; Elephantidae. The record is from Rfam by way of RNAcentral.